GCCAGGGUGGCAUAGGAGUUUGAGCGCUGGACUAUGACUCUGGAGACCAGGGUUCGAUUCCCAGCUCAGCUA
Molecule: non-coding RNA, 72 nt
Organism: Phrynosoma platyrhinos (Desert horned lizard)
Lineage: Eukaryota; Metazoa; Chordata; Lepidosauria; Squamata; Phrynosomatidae
Source: the annotation of a GenBank genome assembly